AUUGAACGCUGGCGGCAGGCCUAACACAUGCAAGUCGAACGGUAACAGGAAGAAGCUUGCUUCUUUGCUGACGAGUGGCGGACGGGUGAGUAAUGUCUGGGAAACUGCCUGAUGGAGGGGGAUAACUACUGGAAACGGUAGCUAAUACCGCAUAAUGUCGCAAGACCAAAGAGGGGGACCUUCGGGCCUCUUGCCAUCGGAUGUGCCCAGAUGGGAUUAGCUAGUAGGUGGGGUAACGGCUCACCUAGGCGAGGAGCCCUAGCUGGUCUGAGAGGCUGAUCAGCCACACUGGAACUGAGACACGGUCCAGACUCCUACGGGAGGCAGCAGUGGGGAAUAUUGCACUAAUGGCGCAAGCCUGAUGCAGCUAUGCCGCGUGUAUGAAGAAGGGCUUCGGGUUGUAAAGUACUUUUAGCGGGGAGGAAGGGAGUAAAGUUAAUACCUUUGCUCAUCGACGUUACCCGCAGAAGAAGCACCGGCUAACUCCGUG
Molecule: ribosomal RNA, 490 nt
Filed under: uncultured bacterium
Lineage: Bacteria
Description: partial 16S ribosomal RNA
Rfam family: Bacterial small subunit ribosomal RNA
Source: RNAcentral